GGCGAACGCUGGCGGCGUGCUUAACACAUGCAAGUCGAACGGUGAAGCGCCUUCCUUUUUGGUGGGUGUGGAUGAGUGGCGAACGGGUGAGUAACACGUGAGUAACCUGCCCCCUUCUUCUGGAUAACCGCAUGAAAGUGUGGCUAAUACGGGAUAUUCUGUGUCUGUCGCAUGAUGGGUCUGGGAAAGAUAUUGUUUCGGUGGGGGAUGGGCUCGCGGCCUAUCAGCUUGUUGGUGGGGUGAUGGACUACCAAGGCGGUGACGGGUAGCCGGCCUGAGAGGGUGGACGGUCACACUGGGACUGAGACACGGACCAGACUCCGACGGGAGGCAGCAGUGGGGAAUAUUGAACAAUGGGGGAAAGCCUGAUGCAGCGACGCCGCGUGAGGGAUGGAGGCCUUCGGGUUGUGAACCUCUUUCGCCAGUGAAGCAGGCCUGCCUCGUUUGUGGGUGGGUUGACGGUAGCUGGAUAAGAAGCGCCGGCUAACUACGUG
RNAcentral lists this ribosomal RNA (494 nucleotides) under uncultured bacterium. Its description in RNAcentral is "partial 16S ribosomal RNA". It matches the Rfam family "Bacterial small subunit ribosomal RNA", at positions 28 to 507 of the family's 1533-position model. The record is from RNAcentral.